This 799-nucleotide ribosomal RNA is filed under the name unidentified microorganism. RNAcentral's name for it is "bacterial SSU rRNA". It matches the Rfam family "Bacterial small subunit ribosomal RNA", at positions 668 to 1461 of the family's 1533-position model. The record is from RNAcentral.
UCCUGGUGUAGCGGUGAAAUGCGCAGAUAUCAGGAGGAACACCGAUGGCGAAGGCAGGUCUCUGGGCUGUUACUGACGCUGAGGAGCGAAAGCAUGGGGAGCGAACAGGAUUAGAUACCCUGGUAGUCCAUGCCGUAAACGUUGGGCACUAGGUGUGGGGGACAUUCCACGUUUUCCGCGCCGUAGCUAACGCAUUAAGUGCCCCGCCUGGGGAGUACGGCCGCAAGGCUAAAACUCAAAGGAAUUGACGGGGGCCCGCACAAGCGGCGGAGCAUGCGGAUUAAUUCGAUGCAACGCGAAGAACCUUACCAAGGCUUGACAUUCACCGGACCGCCCCAGAGAUGGGGUUUCCCUUCGGGGCUGGUGGACAGGUGGUGCAUGGUUGUCGUCAGCUCGUGUCGUGAGAUGUUGGGUUAAGUCCCGCAACGAGCGCAACCCUCGUUCUAUGUUGCCAGCACGUGAUGGUGGGGACUCAUAGGAGACUGCCGGGGUCAACUCGGAGGAAGGUGGGGAUGACGUCAAAUCAUCAUGCCCCUUAUGUCUUGGGCUUCACGCAUGCUACAAUGGCCGGUACAAAGGGUUGCGAUACUGUGAGGUGGAGCUAAUCCCAAAAAGCCGGUCUCAGUUCGGAUUGAGGUCUGCAACUCGACCUCAUGAAGUCGGAGUCGCUAGUAAUCGCAGAUCAGCAACGCUGCGGUGAAUACGUUCCCGGGCCUUGUACACACCGCCCGUCAAGUCACGAAAGUUGGUAACACCCGAAGCCGGUGGCCUAACCCCUUGUGGGAGGGAGCCGUCGAAG